UACGUAGGUGGCCAGCGUUGUCCGGAUUUACUGGGCGUAAAGGGCGCGUAGGCGGCCUGUUAAGUCGAACGUGAAAUCCCCGGGCUCAACCCGGGAACUGCGUCCGAUACUGGCAGGCUUGAAUCCGGGAGAGGGAUGUGGAAUUCCAGGUGUAGCGGUGAAAUGCGUAGAUAUCAGGAGGAACACCGAUGGCGAAGGCAGCUUGCUGGGACGGUACUGACGCUGAGGCGCGAAAGCGUGGGGAGCAAACAGG
RNAcentral lists this ribosomal RNA (253 nucleotides) under uncultured bacterium. RNAcentral describes it as "partial 16S ribosomal RNA". It matches the Rfam family "Bacterial small subunit ribosomal RNA", at positions 524 to 776 of the family's 1533-position model. The record is from RNAcentral.